RNAcentral lists this ribosomal RNA (1529 nucleotides) under Lactiplantibacillus pentosus. Its description in RNAcentral is "bacterial SSU rRNA". It matches the Rfam family "Bacterial small subunit ribosomal RNA". Lineage: Bacteria; Bacillati; Bacillota; Bacilli; Lactobacillales; Lactobacillaceae. The record is from RNAcentral.
GUUUGAUCCUGGCUCAGGACGAACGCUGGCGGCGUGCCUAAUACAUGCAAGUCGAACGAACUCUGGUAUUGAUUGGUGCUUGCAUCAUGAUUUACAUUUGAGUGAGUGGCGAACUGGUGAGUAACACGUGGGAAACCUGCCCAGAAGCGGGGGAUAACACCUGGAAACAGAUGCUAAUACCGCAUAACAACUUGGACCGCAUGGUCCGAGUUUGAAAGAUGGCUUCGGCUAUCACUUUUGGAUGGUCCCGCGGCGUAUUAGCUAGAUGGUGAGGUAACGGCUCACCAUGGCAAUGAUACGUAGCCGACCUGAGAGGGUAAUCGGCCACAUUGGGACUGAGACACGGCCCAAACUCCUACGGGAGGCAGCAGUAGGGAAUCUUCCACAAUGGACGAAAGUCUGAUGGAGCAACGCCGCGUGAGUGAAGAAGGGUUUCGGCUCGUAAAACUCUGUUGUUAAAGAAGAACAUAUCUGAGAGUAACUGUUCAGGUAUUGACGGUAUUUAACCAGAAAGCCACGGCUAACUACGUGCCAGCAGCCGCGGUAAUACGUAGGUGGCAAGCGUUGUCCGGAUUUAUUGGGCGUAAAGCGAGCGCAGGCGGUUUUUUAAGUCUGAUGUGAAAGCCUUCGGCUCAACCGAAGAAGUGCAUCGGAAACUGGGAAACUUGAGUGCAGAAGAGGACAGUGGAACUCCAUGUGUAGCGGUGAAAUGCGUAGAUAUAUGGAAGAACACCAGUGGCGAAGGCGGCUGUCUGGUCUGUAACUGACGCUGAGGCUCGAAAGUAUGGGUAGCAAACAGGAUUAGAUACCCUGGUAGUCCAUACCGUAAACGAUGAAUGCUAAGUGUUGGAGGGUUUCCGCCCUUCAGUGCUGCAGCUAACGCAUUAAGCAUUCCGCCUGGGGAGUACGGCCGCAAGGCUGAAACUCAAAGGAAUUGACGGGGGCCCGCACAAGCGGUGGAGCAUGUGGUUUAAUUCGAAGCUACGCGAAGAACCUUACCAGGUCUUGACAUACUAUGCAAAUCUAAGAGAUUAGACGUUCCCUUCGGGGACAUGGAUACAGGUGGUGCAUGGUUGUCGUCAGCUCGUGUCGUGAGAUGUUGGGUUAAGUCCCGCAACGAGCGCAACCCUUAUUAUCAGUUGCCAGCAUUAAGUUGGGCACUCUGGUGAGACUGCCGGUGACAAACCGGAGGAAGGUGGGGAUGACGUCAAAUCAUCAUGCCCCUUAUGACCUGGGCUACACACGUGCUACAAUGGAUGGUACAACGAGUUGCGAACUCGCGAGAGUAAGCUAAUCUCUUAAAGCCAUUCUCAGUUCGGAUUGUAGGCUGCAACUCGCCUACAUGAAGUCGGAAUCGCUAGUAAUCGCGGAUCAGCAUGCCGCGGUGAAUACGUUCCCGGGCCUUGUACACACCGCCCGUCACACCAUGAGAGUUUGUAACACCCAAAGUCGGUGGGGUAACCUUUUAGGAACCAGCCGCCUAAGGUGGGACAGAUGAUUAGGGUGAAGUCGUAGCAAGGUAGCCGUAG